RNAcentral lists this signal recognition particle RNA (267 nucleotides) under Candidatus Poribacteria bacterium. Its description in RNAcentral is "signal recognition particle sRNA large type". It matches the Rfam family "Bacterial large signal recognition particle RNA". Rfam says of the family: The signal recognition particle (SRP) is a universally conserved ribonucleoprotein involved in the co-translational targeting of proteins to membranes. Archaeal SRP consists of a 7S RNA and homologues of the eukaryotic SRP19 and SRP54 proteins. Lineage: Bacteria; Candidatus Poribacteria. The record is from RNAcentral.
CUAUGCUAAGUGGGGAGGUAGCGGUGCCCUGAACCUGCAAACCGCUUUAGCAGGGCUGAAUCCUAUUGCGCGGCGGAUUGCUUUUGGGGUCUGCCCCAAGUAAGUGGUGUUGAAGAUUGGGUCCUGAGCAACUUGAACUUAUCAAACUCCGUCAGGUCUGGAAGGAAGCAGCGGUAGAUAGGUCUUCGAGUGUGACGCAGGGCAGCCUCAUCGGAGCUAACUGCUUGGGUAACGCUUGGGAGGAUCCGUCAACCUGUAGGUGCAUAG